UACGUAGGUGGCAAGCGUUGUCCGGAUUUACUGGGCGUAAAGAGCGCGCAGGCGGUCGUUCAAGUCGCGUGUGAAAGCCCCCGGCUCAACUGGGGAGGGUCACGCGAUACUGAUCGACUCGAAGGCAGGAGAGGGUAGUGGAAUUCCCGGUGUAGUGGUGAAAUGCGUAGAUAUCUGGAGGAACACCGGUGGCGAAGGCGGCAUCCUGGACCAAUACUGACACUGAGGAGCGAAAGCCAGGGGAGCAAACGGG
Molecule: ribosomal RNA, 253 nt
Filed under: uncultured bacterium
Lineage: Bacteria
Description: partial 16S ribosomal RNA
Rfam family: Bacterial small subunit ribosomal RNA
Source: RNAcentral